This 72-nucleotide transfer RNA is filed under the name Pseudomonadota bacterium. Its description in RNAcentral is "tRNA-Cys". It matches the Rfam family "tRNA". Rfam says of the family: Transfer RNA (tRNA) molecules are approximately 80 nucleotides in length. Their secondary structure includes four short double-helical elements and three loops (D, anti-codon, and T loops). Lineage: Bacteria; Pseudomonadati; Pseudomonadota. RNAcentral also lists the same sequence under 3 other names. The record is from RNAcentral.
GGCCUGGUAGCCAAGUGGUAAGGCAGAGGUCUGCAAAACCUCUAUACGUGGGUUCGAUUCCCACCCAGGCCU